MicroRNA precursor from Arabis alpina (gray rockcress), 116 nucleotides. It matches the Rfam family "mir-166 microRNA precursor family". From Rfam's summary of the family: This family represents the plant microRNA (miRNA) precursor mir-166. Animal miRNAs are transcribed as ~70nt precursors and subsequently processed by the Dicer enzyme to give a ~22nt product. The record is from Rfam. Lineage: Eukaryota; Viridiplantae; Streptophyta; Magnoliopsida; Brassicales; Brassicaceae.
GUUGAGAGGAAUGUUGUUUGGCUCGAGGUCAUGGAGAAAGAUCCUUCGAUUAAAUUUAGUUUUUAAGAAUGAAACAACCCUAAAUGAUUCUCGGACCAGGCUUCAUUCCCCCCAAC